This 83-nucleotide transfer RNA is filed under the name Schistocephalus solidus. It matches the Rfam family "tRNA". Rfam says of the family: Transfer RNA (tRNA) molecules are approximately 80 nucleotides in length. Their secondary structure includes four short double-helical elements and three loops (D, anti-codon, and T loops). The record is from Rfam by way of RNAcentral. Lineage: Eukaryota; Metazoa; Platyhelminthes; Cestoda; Diphyllobothriidea; Diphyllobothriidae.
GGCCUCGUAGCUCAGUUGGCUAGAGCGUUGGCUUAAGUAAAGUCUUCCCCCUGCUGGCAUGGGUUUGAAUCCCACCUAGGCCG